This is a non-coding RNA of Microcebus murinus (gray mouse lemur), 529 nucleotides long. Lineage: Eukaryota; Metazoa; Chordata; Mammalia; Primates; Cheirogaleidae. The record is from RefSeq and is a predicted model, not a curated record.
AGGCUGAGAAGUCCAAGAUUGAGAGGCUACUUCUGUUGAGGACCUUCUUGCUGGUGGGGACACUCUUCAGAGUCCUGAGGUGGUGCAGGGCAUCACAUGAUUCAGUCCCAAACCUCCAGUUCAUUUAUGACUUGAAUGUCUAAAUGGGCAACGUGCCAGUUCCACCUGCUUGAAACAUCCCUGUUAGACAGCAAUGUCAAGUGGUGAAAGGAUUAGAAUGCAAACUGGGAAUUCAUUAGAGUUGGAAGAAAUCUCAGGACCCAGAUUUUGUAAAAAAUCAGGUUGAAAUUCCUGAUUUGUGUCCCUGUUUCCUGCACUACAGAGUAAAUGCUUCAAAAGCAAGAACUGUAUCUUACUCAAGUUUGAAUUCUCAAUGCCUGGCACUUUGGUACAAGCGGCCUCGAGUGAUGGCAAACGACACGCUUAAAUGAUGAAAGGCUUGAUCGCGAUCUCUAAAUAUUUGACAGCCUCGCAUCGAAGAUGGACGAGAUUGGCUUUGAUGGCUCCAGAGGAGAGCAUGCAGGCUAAG